RNAcentral lists this RNase P RNA (340 nucleotides) under Candidatus Saccharimonadota bacterium. Its description in RNAcentral is "RNase P RNA component class A". It matches the Rfam family "Bacterial RNase P class A". From Rfam's summary of the family: Ribonuclease P (RNase P) is a ubiquitous endoribonuclease, found in archaea, bacteria and eukarya as well as chloroplasts and mitochondria. The record is from RNAcentral. Lineage: Bacteria; Candidatus Saccharimonadota.
CCAGAUAGCCAGCCAAUCGCCAGCUUCGCUGGAGGAAAGUCCGGGCUACGUAGAGCAGGGUAGUUGCUAACGGCAACCGGAGGCGACUCUAGGGAAAGUGCCACAGAAACGCGUACCGCCCGAUGCUUAGAUUCGGGCAAGGGUGAAACGAGUGAGGUAAGAGCUCACAAUCCCGUCUGGUGACAGGCGGGAGCAGGUAAACCCUACCUGUAGCAAGGAGCAGUCCAGGCUCAAGUUGCUCGCUGCUUGGAUUGCGUUGAACCGCUAGAAAUGACGAGCAAUCGUUAUUGUAGACAGAUGAUUGGCCACGACAGAACCCGGCUUACGGCUAUCUGGCUUA